Molecule: long non-coding RNA, 1773 nt
Filed under: Marmota monax (woodchuck)
Lineage: Eukaryota; Metazoa; Chordata; Mammalia; Rodentia; Sciuridae
Source: RNAcentral
AGUCAGGGUGUCCGGGGGUGGAGGACAGAGUCCAGGCUGCUGGGUCACGUCUUCAUAGCAGCUGGAGUUUCUUGAGCACUUUCUAUACACGAGAGGUCACUAAAUGACUUCAGUGGCCUAUUUCUAAUAGCAAUGGUGGCACGUCUCAUUCCUCACCCAGGAGGGGAAACUGAGGCAUGGUGUUCAACAUCAUAGGAAGAGUGGGUAUGGGCCCAAGUCACUGGCUUGACUCGGUACCCACACUCUUGACUGUUGCAAGAGGCCUCGGCAGCAUUUGACCCUCUACAGGUGAUGCUCUAGGAUGUUCCUCCUGUCCACUCUGUGGAACGAUUACAGAGGUUGGUGCUGGAGGCAGUGAGAGGUAAGGAGCUGGCUGUCCUGGUUCAGAGGGAAAGGAGAGAAGAGACUGCAGGUGGACACACAGGCCUUACUGGGCCUGGCCAUGGGACGAACAGGGUGAGGCUGGAGGGAGAAAUAGGAUCAGAUGGUUGACUUCCAGCUUGGCCAGCGGUGCCAGUGCCAGCACCUGCCUUAAGGGUGGAUCGGCCAGAGAAGGAGGCUGUUGAGGGGCAUCUGGGAGGCAGGGACCUGCCUGAGGGGCAGAGCUGGCUGGCCAUGUGGCCUGAAGCUCAUGCUGAAGAUUUCUCCUUUCUGGUUCUACCAUGUCCCUGCAAAGCCUGUAGCUGUGCAUCUGUGACUCUGCAGUGCCCAUUCUCUGCUCCCUCUGAGGAUUAAGGUCACCAGUAUGUGACAUGCUCUGCCACCCCCCCUGCAGGUGUGGACAUGGGUCUGGUCAUAGUCCUCCCUCCUUCUCCCAGGCUGUGGCUCACUCUGUGGUUACCACCCCCACAUGCGUCUCUGUUACCCACCCGGUAGGUCUCUUCCUAAGGAGCUCUGCAAAUGGCCUUUCUCAAAGGAGGUUGGGAUAGUGUUCUUCUGUGUGAAUGGUGCAUAGGAUCUCAAGGGGCUGGUUUGUGAUGGCCCGGAUGUUGUCUGAAGUCCUAAGGAAAUGAAGUCCCUAGGGGGUCGGGGUAUGAUUGAUUAGCUUCACACCAAAUAAUGCCUUGGAAGUUCUAGUGCUUGUCUUGGGAGAACCAGAUAAUGAAAUCCUGCCCCAGAAAGGGGCCGAUGCAGGGUUUUCUCAGACAGGGUGCCUGCCCGUGCCAAUGCUGCCCAGUGGUUUUGAGCUCCCGCCACACGCUGGGACACACACAGAACACGAAGAGGGAAAGUGGACAAGGCUCAGCUGGUGCCCUCCAUGGAGCUGUGGUCGGUGGGAGGGGAAGAUGCAUUAACCCUGGGGGCGGGGAUGUCAUGGGAAGCUUUGUCCAAAGGCAAGUGGAACCCUCAGAGGUGGCCUGGAGGCAUCUUUUCUGGAUGUCGAUUUGGGGAUGAGGGUUGUUUGGAAAUCUCUGUAGAUUUGGGGCCAUUUGAACGAAGUCUAGAAGGAACCCUGGCCAUAGGACAAGGGCCCAUCAGGGCCACACGGGAACUUUUGAAGGAGAGGGACACCCUCCUUUUAGUAGUUUUCCAGGGUGACGGGUCCUUAGGGCCAUUCUAGGUGCAGGAAGGCCCCACCCCUGCUCCGCGUGAGGAAGCAGCAUCUUUGCAGAGCUGAGUUUCCUUGGAGCUCAGGACUGACUGAGGAGCAGGGGUGGCUGAUGAAGCUCGGGAGAGGUCUAGGCCGCCUCAUGAGGCUGCUGGCUAUAAGACCAACAUGGCGAGGUCUGCAUUCCCUCGCACCAGCACUGACCCACAGAGCGUGGAGAGAGG